This 206-nucleotide ribosomal RNA is filed under the name uncultured bacterium. Its description in RNAcentral is "partial 16S ribosomal RNA". It matches the Rfam family "Bacterial small subunit ribosomal RNA", at positions 1295 to 1500 of the family's 1533-position model. The record is from RNAcentral.
GGAUCGCAGGCUGCAACCCGCCUGCGUGAAGUUGGAAUCGCUAGUAAUCGCGGAUCAGCAUGCCGCGGUGAAUACGUUCCCGGGCCUUGUACACACCGCCCGUCACACCAUGAGAGUCGGGAACACCCGAAGUCCGUAGCCUAACCGCAAGGGGGGCGCGGCCGAAGGUGGGUUCGAUAAUUGGGGUGAAGUCGUAACAAGGUAGC